This 400-nucleotide ribosomal RNA is filed under the name uncultured Dietzia sp. RNAcentral describes it as "bacterial SSU rRNA". It matches the Rfam family "Bacterial small subunit ribosomal RNA", at positions 983 to 1382 of the family's 1533-position model. Lineage: Bacteria; Bacillati; Actinomycetota; Actinomycetes; Mycobacteriales; Dietziaceae. The record is from RNAcentral.
GACAUAUACAGGACGACGGCAGAGAUGUCGUUUCCCUUGUUGGCUUGUAUACAGGUGGUGCAUGGUUGUCGUCAGCUCGUGUCGUGAGAUGUUGGGUUAAGUCCCGCAACGAGCGCAACCCCUGUCUCAUGUUGCCAGCACGUGAUGGUGGGGACUCGUGAGAGACUGCCGGGGUCAACUCGGAGGAAGGUGGGGAUGACGUCAAAUCAUCAUGCCCCUUAUGUCUAGGGCUUCACACAUGCUACAAUGGCUAGUACAGAGGGCUGCGAUACCGCGAGGUGGAGCGAAUCCCUUAAAGCUGGUCUCAGUUCGGAUUGGGGUCUGCAACUCGACCCCAUGAAGUCGGAGUCGCUAGUAAUCGCAGAUCAGCAACGCUGCGGUGAAUACGUUCCCGGGCCUU